RNAcentral lists this transfer RNA (91 nucleotides) under Paenibacillus aceti. Its description in RNAcentral is "tRNA-Val". The record is from RNAcentral. Lineage: Bacteria; Bacillati; Bacillota; Bacilli; Caryophanales; Paenibacillaceae.
AGUUGUCUUGGACCACGGCAAUCAUAAUCUGUUACAUGGGUUGAAGGUGCAUAACAUCGGGGAUGAGGCGGUUCAUUUCCGUGAUGGCAGC